GAUGAAGAACGUAGUAAAAUGCGAUACUUGGUGUGAAUUGCAGAAUCCCGUGAACCAUCGAGUUUUCGAACGCAAGUUGCGCCCGAAGCCUUUUGGCCGAGGGCACGUCUGCCUGGGCGUCACGCAUCGCGUCGCCCCCCACAAUUCUCCGUAAAGGGAACAUGUGUUUUGGGGGCGGAUAUUGGUCUCCCGUGCUCAUGGCGUGGUUGGCCGAAAUAGGAGUCCUUUCGAUGGACGCACGAACUAGUGGUGGUCGUAAAAACCCUCGUCUUUUGUUUCGUGCUGUUGCUCGCAAGGUAAACUCUUUAAAAACCCCAAUGUGUCGUCUCUUGACGACGCUUCGACCGCGACCCCAGGUCAGGCGGGACUACCCGCUGAGUUUAAGCAUAUCAAUAAGCGGAGGA
RNAcentral lists this unclassified non-coding RNA (404 nucleotides) under soil metagenome. RNAcentral describes it as "partial contains 5.8S ribosomal RNA, internal transcribed spacer 2, and large subunit ribosomal RNA". The stretch from base 1 to 122 matches the Rfam family "5.8S ribosomal RNA", at positions 35 to 154 of the family's 154-position model. The record is from RNAcentral.